UGAACAGACAUAAAAGAACCUGAAGCAUUAUUUCCUUAUAGUCAUUCUGUUUCUGGAGACAUGUCCAGUUGGAAAUUUUAAAUGUGCAAGCGGUACGGUAGAACAAUCCGCUGGGUCCGCUAAGGUGACUGUCACAACUAAAGAGUGCCUAGAUAAAUGUGAACCAGGAACUCUACAGCUACCAAUCGGAGGGACAGUGACUUAUAGCUGCUGUGACACUGAUCUUUGCAAUGCAGCAGACGGAGUGUAUAAGGGAAGCUUCCUCCUGCUCUUGUCUCCUCUGCUCUUCUACCUCCUGUUUCAGUGAAUCCAGAUGAACUUCAGAUUCUACAGCAAAGACCAGCAGAAACUCAAUAUGAUACACUAUCUGAUACUGAAUAAAGCUUGUUUGCUGCUCUGCUCUUCUUUGGUUUAAGGAACUGAGAAUAUGUACUUUUAACAUUAAACAAAUUACUGCAUCAAAACUAACACAUGUAUGAAUUUUCUUUGCAUAAAGGAAAAGUUAUUAUAGAAUGUAAUAAAUAAUUAAAGAAAAAUAUUGCCGUUUUAAAAAGUGUGAAAAACGUCUGUAAUAAAAUAUUUACAUAUGUGUAUUAAACAUCUCUCUCAGUGA
This is a long non-coding RNA of Ctenopharyngodon idella (grass carp), 613 nucleotides long. RefSeq lists it as uncharacterized. Lineage: Eukaryota; Metazoa; Chordata; Actinopteri; Cypriniformes; Xenocyprididae. The record is from RefSeq and is a predicted model, not a curated record. The transcript is spliced from 3 exons.